This 83-nucleotide transfer RNA is filed under the name Acidimicrobiia bacterium. RNAcentral describes it as "tRNA-Leu". It matches the Rfam family "tRNA". Rfam says of the family: Transfer RNA (tRNA) molecules are approximately 80 nucleotides in length. Their secondary structure includes four short double-helical elements and three loops (D, anti-codon, and T loops). The record is from RNAcentral. Lineage: Bacteria; Bacillati; Actinomycetota; Acidimicrobiia.
GCGGCGGUAUCCGAAUCGGUACAGGAAAUCGGCUCAAACCCGAUGCCCGAAAGGGCGUGUGGGUUCGAAUCCCACCCGCCGCA